This 433-nucleotide ribosomal RNA is filed under the name uncultured bacterium. Its description in RNAcentral is "partial 16S ribosomal RNA". It matches the Rfam family "Bacterial small subunit ribosomal RNA", at positions 29 to 507 of the family's 1533-position model. The record is from RNAcentral.
AGCGAACGCUGGCGGCAGGCCUAACACAUGCAAGUCGAACGGAUCCUUCGGGCUUGGUGCCGGACGGGUGGGUAACCCGUGGGAACGUGCCCAUUGGUUCGGAACAAAUCAGGGGAACUUGUGCUAAUACCGGCUGUGCUCCUCCGGGGAAAGGUUUGUCGCCAUUGGAGCGUCCUGAGUCUGCUUAGCUAGUUGUUAUGCUAACGGCCCACCACGGCGAGGUUCAGUAGCUGGUUUGAGAGGAAGGUCAGAGACACUGGGACUGAGACACGGCCCAGACUCCUACGGGAGGGAGCAGUGGGGAAUCUUGCGCAAUGGGCGAAAUCCUGACGCAGCCAUGCCGCGUGAAUGAUGAAGGUCUUAGGAUUGGAAAAUUCUUUCAGCGGGGACGAUAAUGACGGUACCCGCAGAAGAAGCACCGGCUAACUUCGUG